UGGGAUCUCCUGGAUAUGUUUGUUCGUGCGGAGAAGUAUGCCUGCAUAGAAGAGGCCUUUGUCGAUGAUACUCCUGUCGAUUUAGCGACGGCAAGACAAAGCAAAGAGCGCCAUCUGAGGCGAAUAGAGAAAAGUCACCUGUACUACUGAUCUCUGCCGUCAAAGUGGAAUAAUGGGGGUCGAGAUCGUCAAUCUUAAAGUCCCUUGAGAAGGGUUCGACGACUAUCACCGCCUGUGCAGUAUGAUAGCUACACACCCC
RNAcentral lists this long non-coding RNA (259 nucleotides) under Elaeis guineensis (African oil palm). RNAcentral describes it as "long non-coding RNA (EGUI_LNC054438)". The record is from RNAcentral. Lineage: Eukaryota; Viridiplantae; Streptophyta; Magnoliopsida; Arecales; Arecaceae.